GGGCGCGGCGGGGCGGGGGCGCCGAGUCCAAGGGCACCGGCGGUUUGUGGGCCCGGGAGGGGAGCUGGGGCCCAGCCCAGGCGGCGGGAGAGAGGGCGAGUCGGAUUCAGGAAGUUGUGUCUCUGACAUCAGGGGCAGGACGGAGUUGGAGUGAAACCUCAAAAAAUGCGAGGCGUGGCCCGCGGGAGGGCAGAGAACGCAGAGGGUGCCUUCCUCCAGGCGAGCGGCAGGUACGCGCGGCGCCCGGCCCCCGCUGACCCCUCCACUCGGCACCUGGCUCCGCGGGGGGGGCGGCCUUCCUCACUGGGACCUUGACCUCACCCGGGACCCCGCCGCUGUCAGACCCGCCACGCGCGCGCGCGGGAGACGGAGACCCCCUUUCCCCCGGGCGCCUGCAGGAAGCCCUCGGGGGGACUGAAAGGCAGCAAGAGGAAAAUCAACAGCCAGUUCUUUGAAGGGCGAUCCCCAGGGCCACAGACCAGCUCAGGUUUCUGACUUUUCCACCCGCAUUGGCCUGAGCCAUCUGAGCAGAACACCACCUGGGAACGUGAGCGGACCUCAACGUAGCUGAGUUCCAAAACGAACCUCACACAAACACAACAUUUCUUUCUUGGGGCAACUCCCAAGGGGCCACGGCAGUGUCCAAACCAAAUCCUGGCCCCUGGCAAGAGACUUACCCCAACAAUCGUAAGCAAGCUGCCUCAUGGAGCUUGUUGCUAAGAAAUGAAAGAAACCCUAAUCAUUGCUGUAUUUCUUGGUCAAAUGGUAGAUUGUUUCUAAGCCAUCGCAGGCUUGCCUUUGCUCUUAACUGUCUACAGUGUCUUCCUCCUAGGAUGUUUUUCAGUUGACUUUUAUUCGCCUCAAACACACUCCUGAUUUCAAAGCUGGUUAGGCUUAAGAAAAGCCCAUCAGGAGCUUCUUUAGUUUUCCAAGCAAGUCCUAAAAGAAAAUUGGCAGGAGAGAGGGGAAAAAUGUAACAGCAAUAAGGAUGGUUGCGUGUUAUAAUACUUUCAGUCUUCAAAUUGUCCUGAGAACACAGGACACGGGUUUUGAGGUCGGUGCAGAGGCUGGGGGUUAAAGUCAGUGGAAGAAGCCGUGGAAACUGCGAAGUUCCAUUAGCUGUCGUGUUAUGGGCACAGGAGACACACAGUGGGCAUGCUGUGUCUUAACCCGCACGACAUGUGACUCUGGCUGUCGUAAACAGAGAAGAGAAUGGUUUAGUACAAGUCAGGAGCUUGCUUUUCUCUCCCCGACCCAAGUGAGGCCCUGAGUCUCUAUUCUUCUGGUCCUGGUUUCCUAAUUCUGGCACCUUCUGUAGCUCCACCAGGGGGACAAAGUAUGGGCUUUCAGAAGCCCUUCUGCUCAAAAAGCCCUGGCCAUAGCCUAGAGGCUCCAUCGGGCCACCCACGCACAGUGGCCUAAAAUCCCCCAGGCACUCACAGUGGGCAAAGUCCCCUUCCCGGUGACAUGGGACUGGGAGAGAACAAAUGUACAGGGAACCAUU
Molecule: RNA transcript, 1504 nt
Organism: Lontra canadensis (Northern American river otter)
Lineage: Eukaryota; Metazoa; Chordata; Mammalia; Carnivora; Mustelidae
Gene name: KIAA0040 ortholog
Exons: 2
Source: RefSeq, a predicted model, not a curated record